AGGAAGCAGGAGCUCUUUGUUUGCCUGCCAGAAGGCACCAGCAACUGGCCAGCCAACACAGCCACUGGAAGCAAGGACCGAAGGUGUAUGAGACAAUUCACAGAAGACGUAGUCCUUGCCUCAAAGAAAUCAUUAUGUGGCCAGAUUCUUUUCUGUGCCAAGAACCACUGGACGCACAGAAAAUGAGGAGGAAUACAAACCAAGAUGAGGAUGACUGUUAGUUCUUUGUUCUUGGACAUAAGUAUGAAUGAAGCCCAGGAGAAUGAGAGGUAGGAACAUUCAAUCAGAAGCAAUUCUAAUUGGUGAAGAAAUGUGGGUUGGAAAGAGCCAGGAAAAUAUGACGGAAAAGUAUUCACAAAUAUGACGGAAAAGUAUUCACAAAUAUUCUUCUGAAAGAAAGCCAUGAACUCACUUUUAUGGUAUCUACAAUCCUUUUUAUUAUUUUCCUUGAUGAGACAUUCAAUAUGACCAUGUUUGUAACCUUUUUUA
Mauremys reevesii (Reeves's turtle) is the source of this 489-nucleotide long non-coding RNA. RefSeq lists it as uncharacterized. The record is from RefSeq and is a predicted model, not a curated record. NCBI's taxonomy places the organism in Eukaryota, Metazoa, Chordata, Testudines, Geoemydidae. The transcript has 3 exons.